Molecule: long non-coding RNA, 1834 nt
Organism: Astatotilapia calliptera (eastern happy)
Lineage: Eukaryota; Metazoa; Chordata; Actinopteri; Cichliformes; Cichlidae
Source: Ensembl
AAGUCAUUGUGGUAACAAUCCAAAAGUUUAGCCAUUAUUUAACUGUGAACGUGCAGCAUGCUUAACCCAAGAAAAUGCCAGUAUUGAGUGACUUUUUGAACCCUAGAAGUUUUAAGUUCUCUUUGAUGUUCAUGUGCACUGCUAAGUGGUAUGACACCUUAACUCAGAGACACACCACAAAUGAGUGAGUGUGUUGCAUGCCAUGAUUUUAAAUCCCAGUAUGGUCACAAAUUCAAGGGUUUACACUGAUCAUUACUCGUUUAGUAAAACCAUGACUGCACGACUUACAAACAGCUGGCAGUGAGUGGGUGGCAUUCACCUAGAAGUACUAAACCACAAACAACAUGUUAUCUAAUCAUUUAUGAUCUUGCUAACUGGCAUUGCGUGUGCAAAGAGUCAUAAAUACUAUGAUUCUUACAGUAAAAAAUACAUGUGUACCAACUCUCAGGUCUCAACAUUUGGUGAUACAUCUCCUCCUAUGAGAUAAGGACCGCAAUCUCAAAUAGGCCAGUAACUCACUCGGGUAGAGUUUGUUUUGCACUGUUUCUUAUGUGGGUUUUUUAAUUGCUUUUUUUAGUUUGCUGUAAUGGAAUGAUAGAAAAAUCAUACCCUCCUUCUGUUUUGUGUCAUUUUUCUGUGAUAUCUUAUAGACCACUAAGCUAGUGUGUAGUGAUGCAAGGAUGUCGGGCACUCAAAUGCAGAGGGUCGUUUGCAAGUAUAAUGUUACCCAUAUCUGAUGAGCAGAGAGUAAACUUGAGUCCGUGAGCUCCUCUCAUCAUCACUAAAGAUGAUAAUUCAUAAAAGAAGUGGUUUAUUUAAAAGAAGAAGAAGAAAGAAAGAAAGAAAGAGGAAAAAUAGCAUUCAGUUCCCCCCAAAAAGCAACUCUCCUGCAAAAAAUGCUUUGAGAUGAGUUUUUGUUUUGAUGCUGUGGUUUCUGUGGCUUCUUCUUACAAAGCUGAAACUUUAAAGCCUGGUGCAAAAAAAGCAAAAAAAAAAACAAAAAACAUUCCACUGCGGCUAAACCACAGUUCAAAUGAAAGCAUGAAAGGUGAAGCCUGACUUCCCAACUCCAGGCGGAUUUAUUAGAAAUGCCUCGCCUUCUCUCUGAGCAGCACCAUCUACUGGCCAGAGGACAAAAAUGCAAAGCAUCUGCUUCUCUCAAGUCACGUGAUUUAAGAGAAAUCGAGCCUCCAGUUUAGAGCAGGUCACAUUGAGGCUGACACAGACCAUGAAAAGGGCUUGACUCAGCAGGUGCUUUUUUUUUUUAUUGCAUUGGGUGUUCGUCCACUUUUAUUUCGCUUAUCUGACCAUUUAUAUGAAUUAUCCAGUGCAUAUUUUCAACUUUUAGCUCUGGAAUUACUUGACAUCUGUCACAGAUGGCAGUUUUGGGUUCAGUUAUUGGGGUUUGUUUAAUCACAUAUGUGUAACUGCAUGUGUAGAGGUUCUCUUGCAGCACACCCAGAAAUAAAAAGUUGUACUUGCCAUUAAUUUGCUAUGCUUUCAGAGUAUGAUAAAGUGUAUUUCUUUAAUGUCACGCUACUGUUGGCUGACAUUAAGGAAAUACAUAUUUUAAAAAAUAUAUUUGGAGGGAUUAACUCACAGUUCAUCCAGGACAAAGAAUAACACAUAUGUCUGCUAUGUCCAAACAAACAAAACUAUGAGGUUUGUUUUUUAAACCUUCAUGUUUAUCUUUAACCCUGUUUGCUGUCUUUGUUGUUGCUGUUUUGGCUUCAUAGCAACAACUUUGUUCACCUGUGGCCACACCCACAGCAGAUGGCACGGCAGCACAAAGACAUUUAGAAUGAUGGGUGAUUUCGGGUAAAUGGGAUAUUUA